RNAcentral lists this ribosomal RNA (440 nucleotides) under uncultured bacterium. Its description in RNAcentral is "partial 16S ribosomal RNA". It matches the Rfam family "Bacterial small subunit ribosomal RNA", at positions 338 to 795 of the family's 1533-position model. The record is from RNAcentral.
CCUACGGGAGGCAGCAGUGGGGGAUAUUGCACAAUGGGGGAAACCCUGAUGCAGCGACGCCGCGUGGGUGAAGAAGCGCCUCGGCGCGUAAAGCCCUGUCAGCAGGGAAGAAAAUGACGGUACCUGAAGCAUAAGCCCCGGCUAAAUACGUGCCAGCAGCCGUGGUAAUACGUAGGGGGCAAGCGUUAUCCGGAUUUACUGGGUGUAAAGGGGGCGCAGACGGCGAUGCAAGCCAGGAGUGAAAGCCCGGGGCCCAACCCCGGGACUGCGCUUGGAACUGCGUGGCUAGAGUGCAGGAGAGGCAGGCGGAAUUCCUGGUGUAGCGGUGAAAUGCGUAGAUAUCAGGAGGAACACCGGUGGCGAAGGCGGCCUGCUGGACUGCAACUGACGUUGAGGCCCGAAAGCGUGGGGAGCAAACAGGAUUAGAUACCCUUGUAGUC